UGCUCCCUCACCCACUUCUUCCUUCCAAAGUCCUUUCAUCCGCAAUUGGCUCAAUCCUUCGAUCUCCGACCUGCUGCAAAGGAGCGAAAGUCUGUGGAAUGGACUAGACCACCAGUGUCCCAAAGGAGGGGAGAAACAUAAGAAAUUACCUCUUGCUUUAGCUGUGUAUGCAAAGGGCCUCAAUAUUGGACUUGGAAGGUGAGGAAGCUGAGACAGAAGUCAAGUUGUAACUCAAAAUCACAAAAGUAGCAUGUGGUAUAGCUAAGUAUAAAUCCUAACUCGGACCUGAGUUCUUUACCACUGCACUAUAUAAUGGCUUCCCACUAAGCUGCUAACAUGUUCAUCUUAGGUAUGGAAAGAAAGACUUACAGAAGUGAAGUCACUUCUCCAGGAUCAUACCAAAGUGGAGUAGAGUUUUCCCACCAAGAAAACCCGGGACAAGUGCUAAAAAACAAAAGCAAAUCACCCUCCUCUCUGCCCAAAAAAAGCAGAAAGGGAAGAAAUGUGAUGAAGAGGAAAAAUAGGAGAAGAUGACCUAUGCAGAAACAACUGUAGGAAAGAGACUAGUUAGCAGAUGAGAGUGGAUUGCAACAGAAGAAUUGCAAGCUAUCCAAAGUUACUGGAGAAUUUAGUGCAGGUUGGGGAGAAGAAAGAGUUGAACUAGACUGUCAGGCACUGGUCAGAUCACAAUGGGCUAUGUCCUGCAAAAGAAUUUGGACCUUGGGCCAUGGACAUAGCUCAGGGGUGCCGCACCUGCCUGGCAAGCACAAGGUCUUGAGUUCAUUCCCUAGUACCAAAAAAAAAAAAAGGAGAAGAAUGAGAUCUCUAGCCUAUUUUAUAGGGUUGAGGAUUUAGCUCAGUGCCUGGAAAGUGCAAGGUCCAGAAUUCAAUCCCUAGUACUGAAACAACAAUAACAAAAAGAAUUUGGACCUUAUCCUGAAAUUGCUGAAGGAUAAAACAAAGAUAACAGCCGGGCGUGGUGGCACAGGCCUGUAAUCUCAGCACGGAGGAGGCUGAGACAGAAGGAUUGCUGCAAAUUGAGGAUAGCCUGGGUUACUUAGUGAAUUCAAGGUCAGCCUGAACUGCAAAGUGAGACCCUGUCUCAAAAAACAAAGAUAACAAAAAUAACUGUAAUAUUGUGAUAGGCUGAUAAUUUUUCCAAAGAUGUUCAUGUUCUAAUGUUAUCAGGUAGCUUGUUUCUAAAAAGUAGCUCACCAACUAGAUGUUACUGGGUUCUGGAGUUGGAUUCCAGGUUCUUACCUCAAAUAAAGAAUCGAAUGAUAAUGAAUAAUUGAAAAUGUGAAAUGGGAA
Long non-coding RNA from Heterocephalus glaber (naked mole-rat), 1311 nucleotides. RefSeq lists it as uncharacterized. The record is from RefSeq and is a predicted model, not a curated record. Lineage: Eukaryota; Metazoa; Chordata; Mammalia; Rodentia; Bathyergidae.